CUUCCGGUUAGCGUGGGGGUUUUUAGACAAGUCGCUUUGAGCGUUAUCCUAGCGAUCCUUGUGAGGCGAUUGUUAGGUGUUAAAAUGGCGCGGAGAAGGUCGGGGAUUUAGCUCAGUGGUGCUGCCGCCUGCUUCGCAAGCGCAAGUUCCCGAGUUCGAUCUCCGGUACCAAAAAAAAAAAAAAAAGUAAAAUACCGCGGAGAAAGAGGAAAUGACACCUUCUUCAUCUCUGGAAUAAUGACUAUUGUGAAGAUCGGGCCCAGCUGGAUAUUAGGAGAUAAUCUAUCUCAAAAUUCCUAAUGACAUUUUUAGAAUUUUGUGUCAUAAAAGUUCACAACUUUCAGGGACUACAGGAUGGACGCAUUUGGAGGACCUAAUUUUCAGCCCAUCAUGCAUGCAUGGACAGACGUAUUUCCCCUCUGAGCUCUGGGGAACAUGAGAUACCUCGCUUGGACCUCACUCCUCAAUCUUUAAUGGCAAACAACUGCAAUAUAUGUAUGUGCCAAUUCGCCACAAAACAAGUAUUAAUCACAUAUCACAAGCAUGUUCUAAUAAAAGGGAAAAUACAUUUUAAAAAUGGAAAA
Non-coding RNA from Heterocephalus glaber (naked mole-rat), 584 nucleotides. The record is from RefSeq and is a predicted model, not a curated record. NCBI's taxonomy places the organism in Eukaryota, Metazoa, Chordata, Mammalia, Rodentia, Bathyergidae.